UACGUAGGGUGCAAGCGUUAAUCGGAAUUACUGGGCGUAAAGCGUGCGCAGGCGGUUAUGUAAGACAGAUGUGAAAAUCCCAGGGCUCAACCUUGGAACUGCAUUUGUGAACUGCAUAGCUAGAGUACGGUAGAGGGGAUGGAAUUCCGCGUGUAGCAGUGAAAUGCGUAGAUAUGCGGAGGAACACCGAUGGCGAAGGCAAUCCCCUGGACCUGUACUGACGCUCAUGCACGAAAGCGUGGGGAGCAAA
RNAcentral lists this ribosomal RNA (250 nucleotides) under uncultured bacterium. RNAcentral describes it as "partial 16S ribosomal RNA". It matches the Rfam family "Bacterial small subunit ribosomal RNA", at positions 524 to 772 of the family's 1533-position model. The record is from RNAcentral.